GGGUGCGACCAUACCAGCACUAACGCACCGGAUCCCAUCAGAACUCCGAUGUUAAGCGUGCUUGGGGGAGAGUAGUACUCGGAUGGGUGAACCCCUGGGAAGUCCUCGUGUUGCACCCC
This 119-nucleotide ribosomal RNA is filed under the name Olea europaea subsp. europaea. The record is from RNAcentral. Lineage: Eukaryota; Viridiplantae; Streptophyta; Magnoliopsida; Lamiales; Oleaceae.